This 216-nucleotide ribosomal RNA is filed under the name Galearia bruchi. RNAcentral describes it as "partial 28S ribosomal RNA". It matches the Rfam family "Eukaryotic large subunit ribosomal RNA", at positions 967 to 1163 of the family's 3401-position model. The record is from RNAcentral. Lineage: Eukaryota; Metazoa; Arthropoda; Insecta; Hymenoptera; Eucharitidae.
UUUCCCUCAGGAUAGCUGGCACUCGCUUAUAGCGAGUCUCAUCUGGUAAAGCGAAUGAUUAGAGGCCUUGGGGCCGAAACGACCUCAACCUAUUCUCAAACUUUAAAUGGGUGAGAUCUCUGGCUUGCUUGAAACUUGAAGCCACGAGAUAAUAUCGUAAAAUGGAUCAGAGUGCCAAGUGGGCCAAUUUUGGUAAGCAGAACUGGCGCUGUGGGA